RNAcentral lists this ribosomal RNA (459 nucleotides) under Triticum aestivum (bread wheat). Its description in RNAcentral is "partial small subunit ribosomal RNA". The record is from RNAcentral. Lineage: Eukaryota; Viridiplantae; Streptophyta; Magnoliopsida; Poales; Poaceae.
AUGGCUGGAAUCAAUACAGCGCGGAGCUCCAAACGCGAUGUGGGAAGAGUUUUCUGCAGGUUGCUAUGGUGCAGGUUUGGCAGAAAUCAACACCAAGUGUUAUUUCACAAAUUCCACAGCGUCAACCAAGUCGGCACUGUGGAAGAAUAUGUGGAGCAACUCGCGGAGUUGUAUGAUCAGUUGUCCGCUUAUGAGUCUGGUCCUCAAUCAGUGCAUUAUGUCACCAAGUUCAUUAAUGGGUUGCAGCCAAUAGUGAGAGUGAUGGUGGCCCUGCAUCAGCCGCAAGACUUGGAUGCAGUGUACGAACUAGCCCUGUUACAUGAAACUGUGUCAGUUCCUACUCCUCACCAAGGUACUAGUAUCAAAAGGGAGCAGUACAAUUUGUCGACAACUUCAAUCAAACAUCCAACUGUCAAGUCUGUUGAAGAUGGAAGGAAUAAAUUUGAGUCUCACAAGUAA